GACGGAGGGUGCAAGCGUUGUUCGGAUUGACUGGGCGUAAAGGGCGCGUAGGCGGGCGAUCAAGUCAGGGGUGAAAUCCUCCAGCUUAACUGGAGAACUGCCUCUGAUACUGGUCAUCUUGAGUGAGGUAGGGGCGUGCGGAACUGAUGGUGGAGCGGUGAAAUGUGUUGAUAUCAUCAGGAACUCCGGUGGCGAAAGCGGCGCGCUGGACCUUAACUGACGCUGAGGCGCGAAAGCGUGGGGAGCAAACAGG
This 253-nucleotide ribosomal RNA is filed under the name uncultured bacterium. Its description in RNAcentral is "partial 16S ribosomal RNA". It matches the Rfam family "Bacterial small subunit ribosomal RNA", at positions 524 to 776 of the family's 1533-position model. The record is from RNAcentral.